RNAcentral lists this ribosomal RNA (553 nucleotides) under uncultured archaeon. RNAcentral describes it as "bacterial SSU rRNA". It matches the Rfam family "Archaeal small subunit ribosomal RNA", at positions 326 to 879 of the family's 1478-position model. The record is from RNAcentral.
CGGGGUGCACCAGGCGCGAAAACUUUACAGUGCGGGAAACCGUGAUAAGGGGACACCGAGUGCCAGCAUCAUAUGCUGGCUGUCCGGGUGUGUAAAAUACACCCGUUAGCAAGGGCCGGGCAAGACCGGUGCCAGCCGCCGCGGUAACACCGGCGGCCCGAGUGGUGAUCGUGAUUAUUGGGUCUAAAGGGUCCGUAGCCGGUUUGGUCAGUCCUCCGGGAAAUCUGACGGCUCAACCGUUAGGCUUUCGGGGGAUACUGCCAGGCUUGGAACCGGGAGAGGUAAGAGGUACUACAGGGGUAGGAGUGAAAUCUUGUAAUCCCUGUGAGACCACCUGUGGCGAAGGCGUCUUACCAGAACGGGUUCGACGGUGAGGGACGAAAGCUGGGGGCACGAACCGGAUUAGAUACCCGGGUAGUCCCAGCCGUAAACGAUGCUCGCUAGGUGUCAGGCAUGGCGCGACCGUGUCUGGUGCCGCAGGGAAGCCGUGAAGCGAGCCACCUGGGAAGUACGGCCGCAAGGCUGAAACUUAAAGGAAUUGGCGGGGGAGCAC